This 77-nucleotide transfer RNA is filed under the name Erythrobacter sp. RNAcentral describes it as "tRNA-Pro". It matches the Rfam family "tRNA". Rfam says of the family: Transfer RNA (tRNA) molecules are approximately 80 nucleotides in length. Their secondary structure includes four short double-helical elements and three loops (D, anti-codon, and T loops). RNAcentral also lists the same sequence under 47 other names. Lineage: Bacteria; Pseudomonadati; Pseudomonadota; Alphaproteobacteria; Sphingomonadales; Erythrobacteraceae. The record is from RNAcentral.
CGGGGAGUAGCGCAGUCUGGUAGCGCAUCUGCUUUGGGAGCAGAGGGUCGCAGGUUCGAAUCCUGUCUCCCCGACCA